This 96-nucleotide non-coding RNA is filed under the name uncultured Clostridium sp. Its description in RNAcentral is "Glycine riboswitch". It matches the Rfam family "Glycine riboswitch aptamer". From Rfam's summary of the family: This family represents the bacterial glycine riboswitch. Glycine riboswitches usually consist of two metabolite-binding aptamers domains with similar structures in tandem. Lineage: Bacteria; Bacillati; Bacillota; Clostridia; Eubacteriales; Clostridiaceae. The record is from RNAcentral.
ACGAACCUCUGGAGAGACUCAAGAAAAAGAGCACCGAAGGAGCAAGAUAACUUAUAUUUAAGUUAUUGAAACUCUCAGGUAAAAGGACAGGGGAUA